RNAcentral lists this long non-coding RNA (301 nucleotides) under Ananas comosus (pineapple). RNAcentral's name for it is "long non-coding RNA (ACOM_LNC007816)". Lineage: Eukaryota; Viridiplantae; Streptophyta; Magnoliopsida; Poales; Bromeliaceae. The record is from RNAcentral.
GAUCGAGUUUCAUAAAGUGACGAGUGCGCAGUAGGCUCUAACCUCUAAGGCUUCGUUUGGUUCGGAUAUAAGUAUGAACUAGUUGUUUCAGAAAUAAGCAUAAGAUGAAGUAUAAAGUGAGUAUAGAGUAAUUGAGUUUAGUCUAGAUAUAAGUAGGGGUGGCAAUCCAGCUCGCUGUUCGCGAGCCAGCUCGUGUUCGGCUCGAAUGAGCUCGAGAUCGGCUCGCUCGUUUAGUAAACAAGCUGAACACGAGCUGGGGUCAGCUCGCUCGUGUUCGGCUCGAUAACAGCUCGAAUAUAUA